This 253-nucleotide ribosomal RNA is filed under the name uncultured bacterium. RNAcentral describes it as "partial 16S ribosomal RNA". It matches the Rfam family "Bacterial small subunit ribosomal RNA", at positions 524 to 776 of the family's 1533-position model. The record is from RNAcentral.
UACGUAGGGGGCAAGCGUUGUCCGGAAUCAUUGGGCGUAAAGAGCGCGUAGGCGGCCUUCUAAGUCGAACGUGAAAUCCCCGGGCUCAACCCGGGAACUGCGUCCGAUACUGAAAGGCUUGAAUCCGGGAGAGGGAUGCGGAAUUCCAGGUGUAGCGGUGAAAUGCGUAGAUAUCUGGAGGAACACCGGUGGCGAAGGCGGCAUCCUGGACCGGCAUUGACGCUGAGGCGCGAAAGCCAGGGGAGCAAACGGG